Long non-coding RNA from Haliotis rubra (blacklip abalone), 120 nucleotides. RefSeq lists it as uncharacterized. The transcript is spliced from 3 exons. NCBI's taxonomy places the organism in Eukaryota, Metazoa, Mollusca, Gastropoda, Lepetellida, Haliotidae. The record is from RefSeq and is a predicted model, not a curated record.
GAACAAGGUUUGAUCGGUAGUGUGAACAAGGUUUGAUCAGUAGUGAGAACAAGGUUUGAUCAGUAGUGAGAACAAGGUUUGAUCAGUAGUGAGAACAAGGUUUGAUCAGUAGUGUGAACA